UACGUAGGGGGCAAGCGUUAUCCGGAUUUACUGGGUGUAAAGGGAGCGUAGGCGGCGAUGCAAGUCAGAAGUGAAAGCCCGGGGCUCAACUCCGGGACUGCUUUUGAAACUGUGUUGCUAGAUUGCAGGAGAGGUAAGUGGAAUUCCUAGUGUAGCGGUGAAAUGCGUAGAUAUUAGGAGGAACACCAGUGGCGAAGGCGGCUUACUGGACUGUAAAUGACGCUGAGGCUUGAAAGCGUGGGGAGCAAACAGG
Molecule: ribosomal RNA, 253 nt
Filed under: uncultured bacterium
Lineage: Bacteria
Description: partial 16S ribosomal RNA
Rfam family: Bacterial small subunit ribosomal RNA
Source: RNAcentral